AUACGUAGGCAGCAAGCGUUGUUCGGAAUUACUGGGCGUAAAGCGUGCGUAGGCGGUCGGCUAAGUUUGGUGUGAAAUCUCCCGGCUCAACUGGGAGGGUGCGCCGAAAACUGGCCGGCUAGAGUGCGGGAGAGGGAAGUGGAAUUCCUGGUGUAGCGGUGAAAUGCGUAGAUAUCAGGAGGAACACCGGUGGUGAAGACGGCUUCCUGGACCGUGACUGACGCUGAGGCACGAAAGCGUGGGGAGCAAACAGGAAUAGAUACCCUGGUAGUCCACGCCCUAAACGAUGCAGACUUGGUGUGCGUCCUUCAUUGGAUGCGUGCCGGAGCUAACGCGUUAAGUCUGCCGCCUGGGGAGUACGGUCGCAAGGCUGAA
Molecule: ribosomal RNA, 375 nt
Filed under: uncultured bacterium
Lineage: Bacteria
Description: bacterial SSU rRNA
Rfam family: Bacterial small subunit ribosomal RNA
Source: RNAcentral